This 478-nucleotide long non-coding RNA is filed under the name Marmota monax (woodchuck). Lineage: Eukaryota; Metazoa; Chordata; Mammalia; Rodentia; Sciuridae. The record is from RNAcentral.
CUCCUCUUGCUCUGCACAGGUGAUCUCUUGUGUCCUUUCUCAGACUUUACCUGUGGGGGUACCACAGGAUCAUGAGAUGGACGUUCCAACUCUAAGCUCAUGAGAGACAUAGAUUUAUUGGUUCUCCUGGGUAUGGUUCCUUCAUCUCUCUCUUCUCUUGCAGGUUCUGUGGUCUCCUAUGAGCUGACUCAGCCACCCUCAGUCUCAGUAGCCCUGGGACAGACAGCCACAAUCACUUGCUCUGGAGAUAAACUCUCAAAGUAUUAUGCAUACUGGUUCCAGCAGCAGCACCCAGGACAGACCCCUCUCCGGGUAAUAUACGAGGAUACUAAGCGACCCUCAGGGAUCCCAGAGAGAUUCUCUGGAUCCAGCUCAGGGACAACAGCCACCCUGACCAUCACCAGAACUCAGACUGAAGAUGAGGCUGUCUAUUACUGUUUAUCAUCAUAUGAUGAUAGCGGUAAUGAAGUUCCCACAG